RNAcentral lists this ribosomal RNA (497 nucleotides) under uncultured bacterium. RNAcentral describes it as "partial 16S ribosomal RNA". It matches the Rfam family "Bacterial small subunit ribosomal RNA", at positions 28 to 507 of the family's 1533-position model. The record is from RNAcentral.
GAUGAACGCUGGCGGCGUGCCUAAUACAUGCAAGUCGAGCGAACAGACGAGGAGCUUGCUCCUCUGACGUUAGCGGCGGACGGGUGAGUAACACGUGGAUAACCUACCUAUAAGACUGGGAUAACUUCGGGAAACCGGAGCUAAUACCGGAUAACAUGUUGAACCGCAUGGUUCAACAGUGAAAGACGGUUUUGCUGUCACUUAUAGAUGGAUCCGCGUCGCAUUAGCUAGUUGGUAAGGUAACGGCUUACCAAGGCAACGAUGCGUAGCCGACCUGAGAGGGUGAUCGGCCACACUGGAACUGAGACACGGUCCAGACUCCUACGGGAGGCAGCAGUAGGGAAUCUUCCGCAAUGGGCGAAAGCCUGACGGAGCAACGCCGCGUGAGUGAAGAAGGUCUUCGGAUCGUAAAACUCUGUUAUUAGGGAAGAACAAAUGUGUAAGUAACUAUGCACGUCUUGACGGUACCUAAUCAGAAAGCCACAGCUAACUACGUG